RNAcentral lists this ribosomal RNA (439 nucleotides) under uncultured bacterium. RNAcentral's name for it is "partial 16S ribosomal RNA". It matches the Rfam family "Bacterial small subunit ribosomal RNA", at positions 338 to 795 of the family's 1533-position model. The record is from RNAcentral.
CCUACGGGAGGCAGCAGUGGGGAAUAUCGCACAAUGGGCGAAAGCCUGAUGCAGCAACGCCGCGUGAGCGAUGAAGGCCUUCGGGUCGUAAAGCUCUGUCCUCAAGGAAGAUAAUGACGGUACUUGAGGAGGAAGCCCCGGCUAACUACGUGCCAGCGGCCGCGGUAAUACGUAGGGGGCUAGCGUUAUCCGGAAUUACUGGGCGUAAGGGGUGCGUAGGUGGUUUUUUAAGUCAGAGGUAAAAGGCUACGGAUAAACCGUAGAAAGCAUUUGAAACUGGUGAAAUUGAGUGCAGGAGUGGAGAGUGGAAUUCCUAGUGUAGCGGUGAAAUGCGUAGAUAUUAGGAGGAACACCAGUUGCGAAGGCGGCUCUCUGGACUGUAACUGACACUGAGGCACGAAAGCGUGGGGAGCAAACAGGAUUAGAUACCCGAGUAGUC